UGCCAUGUGGCCUAAUGGAUAAGGCAUCUAACUUUGGAUCAGAAGAAUGCAGGUUUGAAUUCUGCUGCAGUUG
Molecule: transfer RNA, 73 nt
Filed under: Ornithorhynchus anatinus (platypus)
Lineage: Eukaryota; Metazoa; Chordata; Mammalia; Monotremata; Ornithorhynchidae
Rfam family: tRNA
About the family: Transfer RNA (tRNA) molecules are approximately 80 nucleotides in length. Their secondary structure includes four short double-helical elements and three loops (D, anti-codon, and T loops).
Source: Rfam by way of RNAcentral